GACGAACGCUGGCGGCGGGCUUAACACAUGCAAGUCGAACGGAAAGGCCCUGCUUGUGUGGGGUUCUCGAGUGGCGAACGGGGGAGUAAGACGUGAGUAACGUGCUCUUGACUUUGGGGUAACUUCAGGAAACUGGGGCUAAUACCGUAUCGCAUCUGCUGUUGCAUGGUGGGGGUUGGAACGUUUCGGCCGGUGGGGAUGGACUCGCGGCUUAUCAGCUUGUUGGUGGGGUAGUCGCUUACCAAGGCUUUGAAGGAUAGCCGGCCUGUGAGGGUGACCGGCGACCAUGGGCCUGCGGUACGGCCCAGAGUCCUACGGGAGGCAGCAGUCGCGAGUAUUGCCCAGUCAGCGCACGUCUGAUGAAACAACCUUCCGUUCGGGAUGACGGCCUUCGGGUUGUGAAACGCUUCAGCCUGUGACGAAGCGUGAGUGACGGUACUGAGUAAAGAAGCACCGGCUAACUACGUG
This 468-nucleotide ribosomal RNA is filed under the name uncultured bacterium. RNAcentral's name for it is "partial 16S ribosomal RNA". It matches the Rfam family "Bacterial small subunit ribosomal RNA", at positions 28 to 507 of the family's 1533-position model. The record is from RNAcentral.